UCUGGUGGUAAUGACGUGAAGGCAACACUCCUUCCCAUUCCGAACAGGCAAGUUAAGCUUCAUUGUGCCGAUGGUACUGCAGAGGAGGCUCUGUGGGAGAGUAGGUAGCUGCCAGAU
Molecule: ribosomal RNA, 117 nt
Filed under: Clostridium sp. cel8
Lineage: Bacteria; Bacillati; Bacillota; Clostridia; Eubacteriales; Clostridiaceae
Source: RNAcentral